Triticum aestivum (bread wheat) is the source of this 1191-nucleotide long non-coding RNA. RefSeq lists it as uncharacterized. Lineage: Eukaryota; Viridiplantae; Streptophyta; Magnoliopsida; Poales; Poaceae. The transcript is spliced from 3 exons. The record is from RefSeq and is a predicted model, not a curated record.
GCUGGAGAUGCUCUUACGCCCAUCUCGCCUCUCCUUCUCACGCCGUCGCUGCUGCUGUCCAGUACAGAUCACUUCUGCUACUGAUUGGCGCCGCCACUGCACAACCGGAUCCCAUCCGGCUCUCCUUCUUUCCAACAUCCAUCGAUGCAUCGUUGCUCUGCCCCCGCGCGCGGCCGCCCGGCUAACCCUAGCCGCCUCUAUCUCUGAUGAUGACCCCGACGCCGGUGCCUCACCGUUACCCUCCCCGGCGCUCUCCCUGUUUGGCUCCCGAAAUCCUUCUGCCUCGCCGUCACUGACGUCGAUGAUGACGCCUCCCUGAGCCUCGACAGUUAGCCCUUUAAAUAGCAAGUGGGGUGUGUGUGUUGCAUCUGAUGUGCACGAGCUCAACCUGGCGAGCUCCUGGGAGAAGAAAAAACGGAGCCACAACAGCCCUGGCGAGCUCGAGACGACGAAGGUGCCACAAGUGGUGUGGGAGAGGAGAUGGUCUCCAUCCGAGGUCUGAGGACCAGCCAUGACGUCGAGCUGCUGCAGCGCGGAGUCAGAAACAGAUAGCAGCUCUCCGAUGUAGUAAGGACAAACCAAGAAUGACAGAGCAUCCUCAUGUCAAACUCAACACACCCUGGCACUUCUCCAUUGUUUGAUUCAGAAACAGGCAGAAACAACUGCUAUCUCCGAAUUUAUUUAAGGUUGUUUCUCUUAUCUCUAUUCUGAUGUACAUGCAUCUUCCCUUUCUAUUUUCCCUACAUAUAUGUGCUACAACCAUGCCAUUUUUGUCCUGUAAAUGUCCUACAGAUAUGUGCAGCAAAGUAGUCUUCAUGUGCGAGGAGCAAAGAAGAUAUGAUGCUAUGCAAUCAUGCUCCAUGUUAGUUGGAAGUUCAAUCUCAGCUUGAUUACCGCUCUUUAAGCAAAAUUAUUAGUAACAAACAGAUCUUAUCCUAGAUGAUUCUUGCUUAAAUGAUUUUAGAAGCACGGCUACCAGUAUGUGCACUUAAUAAAAUGCAAGUCCGAAUGCAGAUGCUGAAAAUAGUUUGGAAAUUAUACAUUAUUCAAUCUCCCAGUUUGUGAUUUGCUUUUUGUUUAUGUUGUCCAGAAAUGUACAAACGAGUGGCAUGUGUCAUCUAUAGCAUGCCCCCUUUGUCUGAAUGUUCAACCAGAAGAGUUUCAUCUCAUUUGGCAAGGAGCACUGCAAUA